This 73-nucleotide transfer RNA is filed under the name Candidatus Woesearchaeota archaeon. RNAcentral's name for it is "tRNA-Val". Lineage: Archaea; Nanobdellati; Candidatus Woesearchaeota. The record is from RNAcentral.
GUGCGUGACGCUCGGUUCAGCAGACGUCGCCUUCACACGGCGGAGGUCCCCGGUUCGAAUCCGGGCAGGCCCA